Molecule: ribosomal RNA, 783 nt
Filed under: uncultured bacterium
Lineage: Bacteria
Description: bacterial SSU rRNA
Rfam family: Bacterial small subunit ribosomal RNA
Source: RNAcentral
AGAGUUUGAUCCUUGGCUCAGGACGAACGCUGACGGUGUGCUUUAGACAUGCAAGUCGAACGAGAAAGCCCUUCGGGGUUAGUACAGUGGCGAACGGGUGAGUAACACGUGGGCAAUCUGCCCCUCGUAGGGGGACAACCGGAGGAAACUCCGGCUAAUACCCCAUACGCUUGCGGAACCGCAUGGUUCCAUAAGGAAAGGUAGCUUCGGCCAUCCGGCGAGGGAUGAGCCCGCGGUACAUUAGCUAGUUGGUGGGGUAACGGCCCACCAAGGCGACGAUGUAUAGUUGGUCUGAGAGGAUGAUCAGCCACACUGGGACUGAGACACGGCCCAGACUCCUACGGGAGGCAGCAGUCGGGAAUCUUGCGCAAUGGGCGAAAGCCUGACGCAGCAACACCGUGUGAGCGAUGAAGGCCUUCGGGUCGUAAAGCUCUGUUGUUGGGGACGAGAGGGCGAGGGGUUAAUAGCCCUGAGCUUGACGGUACCCUUCGAGGAAGCCCCGGCUAACUACGUGCCAGCAGCCGCGGUAAUACGUAGGGGGCGGGCGUUGUCCGGAAUUAUUGGGCGUAAAGAGCGUGUAGGCGGUUCGGUAAGUCUGUCGUGAAAACCAGGGCUCAGCCCUGGGCGUGCGGUGGAUACUGCCGGGCUAGAGGGUGNAGAGGCGAGUGAAAUCCCCGUGUAGCGGUGAAAUGCGCAGAUAUCGGGAGGAACACCAGUAGCGAAGGCGGGUCGCCUGGGCCACACCCUGACGCNGAGACCCGAAAGCGUUGGGGAACCAACAGG